GGUGGACAUGGACUCCAUGGAAGCCUGAGCUGCCAGGGGCUUCCCUGGGGCAGCACUGCUUCGCGUAGGCUCACGAGAAACUUCCAGGGUUCCUGGCGCCAGCCUUUCAACAGAGCAGCACAUUAUGCCUGGAUAAGACUCAAAGAGCAGCUUAAUAUCAGGUUCUCUGGGGCUGUAAUCAUCGGUUCAGGAUGGAGCAGACACAGCCGCAGCAAGGCCUCUGUGCAGCCCCCGGUUUAAAACACAUCAACGCAUCCGUGGGCACUUUUGUGAGUUAAAGCUCAACUUACACAUCUGCCUGUAUCCAUAGGAAAUGAAUGAAAAUAAACAAACAAAUUCCUUGCAUU
This is a long non-coding RNA of Homo sapiens (human), 347 nucleotides long. Ensembl annotates it as long intergenic non-protein coding RNA 354. The record is from Ensembl. Lineage: Eukaryota; Metazoa; Chordata; Mammalia; Primates; Hominidae.